GAAUUGUAGCAGCAUGCAAAGCAAGGCU
This 28-nucleotide non-coding RNA is filed under the name Cricetulus griseus (Chinese hamster). The record is from RNAcentral. Lineage: Eukaryota; Metazoa; Chordata; Mammalia; Rodentia; Cricetidae.